This 354-nucleotide RNase P RNA is filed under the name Bacteroidales bacterium. RNAcentral describes it as "RNase P RNA component class A". It matches the Rfam family "Bacterial RNase P class A". Rfam says of the family: Ribonuclease P (RNase P) is a ubiquitous endoribonuclease, found in archaea, bacteria and eukarya as well as chloroplasts and mitochondria. Its best characterised activity is the generation of mature 5'-ends of tRNAs by cleaving the 5'-leader elements of precursor-tRNAs. The record is from RNAcentral. Lineage: Bacteria; Pseudomonadati; Bacteroidota; Bacteroidia; Bacteroidales.
ACAGCAAUUCGUUCUGUCGCUGUCCCUUGUGGAUAGAGGAAAGUCCGGACAACAAAGAGCGCCAUACUUCCUAACAGGAAGGUCUCAUUAAUGAGAACAGCCAGUGCCACAGAAAAUAACCGCCGAAAGGUAAGGGUGAAAAUGUGAGGUAAGAGCUCACACACUAUACAGGUAACUGUGUAUUGGGGUAAACCUUAUGGGUUGAAAGACCAUGUAUACCGAGGAUUGAGGGUUGCUCGCCUAAUCUCGGAGGGUAGGUCGAUAGAAAUAUUUAGUGAUAAAUAUUCCAGAUAAAUGACAGAAAUUCCGACAAAAAUCGGAAUACAGAAUCCGGCUUACAGAGUUGCUGUUUUU